Molecule: ribosomal RNA, 467 nt
Filed under: uncultured bacterium
Lineage: Bacteria
Description: partial 16S ribosomal RNA
Rfam family: Bacterial small subunit ribosomal RNA
Source: RNAcentral
GAUGAACGCUGGCGGCGUGCUUAACACAUGCAAGUCGAACGGUGAAGCAGAGCUUGCUCUGUGGAUCAGUGGCGAACGGGUGAGUAACACGUGAGCAACCUGCCCCUGACUCUGGGAUAAGCGCUGGAAACGGCGUCUAAUACUGGAUAUGAGCUGCGACCGCAUGGUCAGCAGUUGGAAAGAUUUUUCGGUCUGGGAUGGGCUCACGGCCUAUCAGCUUGUUGGUGAGGUAAUGGCUCACCAAGGCGUCGACGGGUAGCCGGCCUGAGAGGGUGACCGGCCACACUGGGACUGAGACACGGCCCAGACUCCUACGGGAGGCAGCCGUGGGGAAUAUUGCACAAUGGGCGAAAGCCUGAUGCAGCAACGCCGCGUGAGGGAUGACGGCCUUCGGGUUGUAAACCUCUUUUAGCAGGGAAGAAGCGAAAGUGACGGUACCUGCAGAAAAAGCGCCGGCUAACUACGUG